RNAcentral lists this ribosomal RNA (334 nucleotides) under uncultured bacterium. RNAcentral describes it as "partial 16S ribosomal RNA". It matches the Rfam family "Bacterial small subunit ribosomal RNA", at positions 523 to 857 of the family's 1533-position model. The record is from RNAcentral.
AUACGUAGGGUGCAAGCGUUAAUCGGAAUUACUGGGCGUAAAGCGUGCGCAGGCGGUUUUGUAAGACAGUGGUGGAAUCCCCGGGGUCAACCUGGGAACUGCCAUUGUGACUGCAAGGCUGGAGUGCGGCAGAGGGGGAUGGAAUUCCGCGUGUAGCAGUGAAAUGCGUAGAUAUGCGGAGGAACACCGAUGGCGAAGGCAAUCCCCUGGGCCUGCACUGACGCUCAUGCACGAAAGCGUGGGGAGCAAACAGGAUUAGAUACCCUGGUAGUCCACGCCCUAAACGAUGUCAACUGGUUGUUGGGGAUUUAUUUUCUCAGUAACGAAGCUAACG